This 253-nucleotide ribosomal RNA is filed under the name uncultured bacterium. Its description in RNAcentral is "partial 16S ribosomal RNA". It matches the Rfam family "Bacterial small subunit ribosomal RNA", at positions 524 to 776 of the family's 1533-position model. The record is from RNAcentral.
AACGUAGGAGACAAACGUUAUCCGGAGUUACUGGGCGUAAAGGGCGUGUAGGUGGUAGUGUAAGUCUGGCGUGAAAUUUUUCGGCUUAACCGGGAAAGGUCGUCGGAUACUGCACAACUAGAGGACGGUAGAGGCGUGUGGAAUUCCGGGUGUAGUGGUGAAAUGCGUAGAGAUCCGGAGGAACACCGGUGGCGAAGGCGGGUCUCUGGGCAGUAACUGACGCUGAGGAGCGAAAGCGUGGGGAGCGAACAGG